Molecule: long non-coding RNA, 473 nt
Organism: Zingiber officinale
Lineage: Eukaryota; Viridiplantae; Streptophyta; Magnoliopsida; Zingiberales; Zingiberaceae
Exons: 2
Source: RefSeq, a predicted model, not a curated record
AAAUCUUCCAGUUUUGUUUCAGUAUCUCCUUUCGCAACUCGAUUGUGCAGUCUUUGGUCCUGUAAAAUGAAUUUGUUAGAUAUGAAGUAUCUACAACGGCAUGCACAGUCUAAGAUCACAAAAGGUUCCAGCAUUUGAACAACCUGCCCCAUUGUUGGUCUCUUCUCUGAAUCAAGUUCAACACACCUCAAUGCUACUAAAAGGGCUUUUUUCAGAGCCUUAGAAGUUGGCCUAAUCACUAUGGUUGGAUCUCCCACUUCUUCAGAACGACGGUUGGCAAUCAUCCAUUUAAGCCAGUCAACAAGAUGUACCUGCAAUCAUAACAAGAAAAUAUAUUAGUCAGAUGUGGAAGGUUCACGAAUUUGCUGAACUAACAUGUUUUUAUUUUUGCAUAAAAUACAUAGCAACUAUUAUUAUGUUCAACUCUUUCGCAAUUAUCAUAUCAAUACAGGCGAUAGAUAUUGACAAUCAAA